UCUUGGAGUGGAGGGGCACGGGCGUUGUUGGGCUCCAGUUCCAGUCUCAGGACAUGGUUCUCACUCAUCAUUGCUACCAUCUGAGGCCACGACACACACAUACAGAGCUCAGCCAGAUUACACAAAAACUCGUUUGAGCUACAGCUAGUCACUGAUCACAGGUUUAGCUAUUCAACUCUGAUAUUCAACUUGAAGGAAAAAAAAGGUAUCUUGUAAGAAUUGACCUUUCUGAAUCUGGUUUCUCUCAAUAUCUCAUCCAGUUCUAUCUCUAAGUGAGUGAGUUCUAUCAAGGUUUUCUCUUGAAUAUUCUGUUCUUCAAGGUACCUGCCAGAAGCAUGAAAAUGAAUGCAAUUAUCUGGUUAAUUGAAGCACUUCUACUUGGGCCUCAAAGAUCUUAUGUUAAUGAGCAACUAGGGUUUGUGCAUGCUAACAGAGGAUCGUUAGUUUGGGAGAAUAUCAUGUCAAAAAGGGAACUGGUCUCCAAGAUGUUGUCUUUGAAUCAUGUAAAAGAAGCACCUUUUGUUUUCCCUGUAACAUGGGUUAUUUAUUCCUACCGUGCCAAUUGCAGCACACAUGUAUAUGGACCUGAAAGAUGUUACCUUUGUAUCAUUUCCAGUGGCCUAGCGCCCAUCUCAAGACCAGGGCAGUCAGCAUGAUUCCUCUGAAUGAUAAGGAAAAAGUGGGUAAGAGAGGAAAAUUAUAAA
This is a long non-coding RNA of Carya illinoinensis, 704 nucleotides long. RefSeq lists it as uncharacterized. The transcript is spliced from 2 exons. The record is from RefSeq and is a predicted model, not a curated record. Lineage: Eukaryota; Viridiplantae; Streptophyta; Magnoliopsida; Fagales; Juglandaceae.